GACGAACGCUGGCGGCGUGCUUAACACAUGCAAGUCGAGCGAGAAACCCUCUUCGGAGGGGAGUACAGCGGCGAACGGGUGAGUAACACGUGGGCAACCUGCCCCAAGGAGCGGGACAACCCGGGGAAACCCGGGCUAAUACCGCAUGUUCCGUGGCGCCUCAAGGCGCCUCGGGAAAUGGUAGCUUCGGCCUCCGCCUUGGGAUGGGCCCGCGGCGCAUUAGCUUGUUGGUGAGGUAACGGCUCACCAAGGCGACGAUGCGUAGCUGGUCUGAGAGGACGAUCAGCCACACUGGGACUGAGACACGGCCCAGACUCCUACGGGAGGCAGCAGUGGGGAAUCUUGCGCAAUGGACGGAAGCCUGACGCAGCAACGCCGCGUGAGGGAAGACGGCCUGGUGUAACU
RNAcentral lists this ribosomal RNA (405 nucleotides) under uncultured bacterium. Its description in RNAcentral is "bacterial SSU rRNA". It matches the Rfam family "Bacterial small subunit ribosomal RNA", at positions 28 to 430 of the family's 1533-position model. The record is from RNAcentral.